UGGGGAAUUUUGGACAAUGGGCGAAAGCCUGAUCCAGCAACGCCGCGUGAGUGAUGAAGGCCUUCGGGUUGUAAAGCUCUGUCGGAGGGAACGAAUAAAGGUCACCUAAUACGUGAUCAUAUGACGGUACCCUUAAAGGAAGCACCGGCUAACUCUGUGCCAGCAGCCGCGGUAAGACAGAGGGUGCAAGCGUUGUUCGGAAUUACUGGGCGUAAAGGGCGUGUAGGCGGCAGAGUGUGUCUGAUGUGAAAUCCCUCGGCUUAACUGGGGAAGUGCAUCGGAAACUGCUUUGCUAGAGUAUGAGAGAGGGUGGCGGAAUUCCUAGAGUAGAGGUGAAAUUCGUAGAUACUAGGAGGAACACCAGAGGCGAAGGCGGCCACCUGGUUCAUAACUGACGCUGAGACGCGAAAGCGUGGGUAGCAAACAGG
This 428-nucleotide ribosomal RNA is filed under the name uncultured bacterium. Its description in RNAcentral is "bacterial SSU rRNA". It matches the Rfam family "Bacterial small subunit ribosomal RNA", at positions 355 to 776 of the family's 1533-position model. The record is from RNAcentral.